CUCAAAUAAAUAUUCUAAAAAUACUAGGACUAUUAAAGGUGAUUCUAAUAAGCGAGUCAAAAAUUACAUGUCUACAGCUGCCCCUCUUUGAUGGGAAACACGAAGUGUUUUCAGACAAAGAACAACAAAACAUGUUUUUGACCCGACCCUUAUUUAGAGAGACAAAAACUAAAAGAGAAGGGAUGUGACCGAGCCCUGGUAUCUGAGCUGCCUACAUAUCCUUGGCUAUAAAGAAAUCAGGCCACAUGUAGUUCGGAGUGAGAAGAGCGACGGAGUAUACCGAGAUGGAGAGCCGAGUGAAGUGUCGUCGAGGUUCCGGUCCGCGGUUCCUUCCAUUACAUCAAAAAUAAAAGGAAAAUUACAGCAAAGUAAAAAAAAUACAAGAUCCUAUCUACUUCUUGUCUUGAAUCUUCCUUGAAUCUCUACUUGAUCUUCAACAUAAGACUGAAAAAUGGACCAUGUUCUUCAGGCGGGCUCGUGAUGCUUCUUAAAUUUGCGAAUUGAAGUGACUCUAAAAAUGAAUUCCCUCGUUCUCCAAGUGGGUGCCUGAUUUCCAAAACUUGAAUUGUAUUCCCUCGUUAUCCAGGUGGGCGCCUGGUUGCUAAAACCUGAAACUGCAUUCCCUCAUUAUCCAGGUGGGCGCCUGGUUGCUAAAACUUGAAACUGCAUUCCCUCAUUAUCCAGGUGGGCGCCUGGUUGCUAAAACUUGAAACUGCAUUCCCUCGUUAUCCAGGUGGGCGUCUGGUUGCUAAAACUUGAAACUGCAUUCCCUCGUUAUCCAGGUGGGCGCCUGGUUGCUAAAACUUGAAAACUGUAUUCCCUCGUUAUCCAGGUG
Molecule: long non-coding RNA, 835 nt
Filed under: Nicotiana tabacum (common tobacco)
Lineage: Eukaryota; Viridiplantae; Streptophyta; Magnoliopsida; Solanales; Solanaceae
Description: long non-coding RNA (NTAB_LNC000101)
Source: RNAcentral